GUAGGUGGCAAGCGUUGUCCGGAAUUAUUGGGCGUAAAGCGCGCGCAGGCGGUUCUUUAAGUCUGAUGUGAAAGCCCACGGCUCAACCGUGGAGGGUCAUUGGAAACUGGAGAACUUGAGUACAGAAGAGGAAAGCGGAAUUCCACGUGCAGCGGUGAAAUGCGUAGAGAUGUGGAGGAACACCAGUGGCGAAGGCGGCUUUCUGGUCUGUAACUGACGCUGAGGCGCGAAAGCGUGGGGAGCAAACAGGAUUAGAUACCCUGGUAGUCCACGCCGUAAACGAUGAGUGCUAAGUGUUAGGGGGUUUUCCGCCCCCCUUAGUGCUGCAGCUAACGCAUUAAGCACUCCGCCUGGGAGUACGGCCGCAAGGCUG
RNAcentral lists this ribosomal RNA (373 nucleotides) under uncultured organism. RNAcentral describes it as "partial 16S ribosomal RNA". It matches the Rfam family "Bacterial small subunit ribosomal RNA", at positions 527 to 896 of the family's 1533-position model. The record is from RNAcentral.